This is a long non-coding RNA of Panthera uncia (snow leopard), 568 nucleotides long. RefSeq lists it as uncharacterized. The record is from RefSeq and is a predicted model, not a curated record. Lineage: Eukaryota; Metazoa; Chordata; Mammalia; Carnivora; Felidae. The transcript has 3 exons.
ACCAAGCGCCGACCACGGAGCGAAGAGGCCACACCUCCACCGCCCCGCUAGUGGCGGAUUUGGCGCUCGGCGAGGAGCACAUGCGUUUGGACUCUUGGUACACACGAUCACAAUGGAAGAGGGUGUAGAAUUUUAUCCCUGCUAAGUAUCGAUGUUUAUGGGUGGAGUACAAAAGAAGAACCUCAAAGGACAACAUGGCAGCUGGAGAAAGGAGGAAGAACAGAGACAGACAGACAGAAUGUGAGCAGGGAGGAGCAGAGAGAAAGGGAGACAGAAUCUGAAGCAGACUUCAGGCUCUGAAGUGUCAGCACAGAGCCUGACAUGGGGAUCGAACUCACAGACCGCGAGAUCAUUACCUGAGCCGAAGUCAGAUGCUUUAACUGACUGAGCCACCCAGAUGCCCCGAAUGAAUGUAUCUUUAUCAUGUAAAAAGUCAUAUGAAAAUUAUUAAAUGUACUAAAAUUCCAUUUCAUCCUCUUCUUGGAUUGUAUCUUAUUUUAAUAAUUAUUCAUCCUUUCCUUUAGAUCACCUGUGGCUGAAAUGGUCAGCAGAGGCCAUGCCUGCAAAA